Molecule: long non-coding RNA, 224 nt
Organism: Daphnia carinata
Lineage: Eukaryota; Metazoa; Arthropoda; Branchiopoda; Diplostraca; Daphniidae
Exons: 3
Source: RefSeq, a predicted model, not a curated record
AGAGGACAUUGGGCAACGAGGAUAGCCCCGCAGCCACUGGAAUAUCGCCCAGGAUUCCGAGGAGGGCCACAUCACCACCGAAGGGGGACCGUUGGGCAACGAAGGUCACCGCCAGAAUCCUAGCCCAAAAUUGCAAGGAGGGCUGGUAACACUACUGAGGAGGAUUACUGGACACCGGGAAUCGCCGCCGAAGUCGCCAAGGGUUACCAGGUAUUGCUUUAACA